This 547-nucleotide ribosomal RNA is filed under the name uncultured bacterium. RNAcentral's name for it is "partial 16S ribosomal RNA". It matches the Rfam family "Bacterial small subunit ribosomal RNA", at positions 777 to 1314 of the family's 1533-position model. The record is from RNAcentral.
AAUAGAUACCCUGGUAGUCCACGCCGUAAACGAUGAGUGCUAGGUGUUGGGGGGACCCCCCUCAGUGCCGUAGGUAACCCAAUAAGCACUCCGCCUGGGGAGUACGGUCGCAAGACUGAAACUCAAAGGAAUUGACGGGGGCCCGCGACAAGCGGUGGAGCAUGUGGUUUAAUUCGAAGCAACGCGAAGAACCUUACCAGGGCUUGACAUCCCGCUGAUCGGUGUAGAGAUAUGCCUUUCCCCUUCGGGGGACAGCGGUGACAGGUGGUGCAUGGUUGUCGUCAGCUCGUGUCGUGAGAUGUUGGGUUCAGUCCCGCAACGAGCGCAACCCUUGUUUCUAGUUGCCAGCACUUCAGGUGGGCACUCUAGAGAGACAGCCGGUGAAAGCCGGAGGAAGGUGGGGAUGACGUCAAAUCAUCAUGCCCCUUAUGUCCUGGGCUACACACGUGCUACAAUGGUUGGUACAAAGGGGCAGCGAACCCGCGAGGGGGGAGCCGAAUCCCAAAAAAACCAGGUUACUCAGUUCCGGAUUGCAGGCUGCAACUCG